UGGGGAAUAUUGCACAAUGGGCGCAAGCCUGAUGCAGCCAUGCCGCGUGUAUGAAGAAGGCCUUCGGGUUGUAAAGUACUUUCAGUCGGGAGGAAGGUGGUAAGGUUAAUAACCUUAUCAAUUGACGUUACCGACAGAAGAAGCACCGGCUAACUCCGUGCCAGCAGCCGCGGUAAUACGGAGGGUGCAAGCGUUAAUCGGAAUUACUGGGCGUAAAGCGCACGCAGGCGGUUGAUUGAGUCAGAUGUGAAAUCCCCGGGCUUAACCCGGGAAUUGCAUCUGAUACUGGUCAGCUAGAGUCUUGUAGAGGGGGGUAGAAUUCCAUGUGUAGCGGUGAAAUGCGUAGAGAUGUGGAGGAAGACCGGUGGCGAAGGCGGCCCCCUGGACAAAGACUGACGCUCAGGUGCGAAAGCGUGGGGAGCAAACAGG
Molecule: ribosomal RNA, 429 nt
Filed under: Chloroflexota bacterium
Lineage: Bacteria; Bacillati; Chloroflexota
Description: Chloroflexi bacterium partial 16S ribosomal RNA
Rfam family: Bacterial small subunit ribosomal RNA
Source: RNAcentral